Molecule: non-coding RNA, 73 nt
Organism: Dryococelus australis
Lineage: Eukaryota; Metazoa; Arthropoda; Insecta; Phasmatodea; Phasmatidae
Source: the annotation of a GenBank genome assembly
AUUUCCAUGGUGUAGUGGUUAUCACAUCCGCCUGACACGCGGAAAGUCCUUGGUUUGACCCCAGCCGGAAAUA